AGCUGGAAGACAAAAUGCUACUUUGAGUCCAAACUUUAUGCGACUGUUGUCAUUUUGACUCGUGUAGUUGGGAACUGAGCAGAACGAAGAGGAUGAGGAGCUAAAGACUGAGCUGGAAAGCAUGUGCCAGAGCAGAUUUCAUCUCUGUGAACUGACGGAGAGAGAGGCAGACCCAUAACGCAUCUUGUCACCUGACGCAGCUGAUUCCGGUCCCUAAAGAAGAGCUCCUAGAUGCUGUGAUAGGAAAGACCAUAUUUAAUACUGUGAUAUUAACUAAAAGGAACUCCAUGAAAUGCUGCUCCAGUUUUAUGAUCUUGCUAAACUCUGGAGACCACUGGAAGUGGGAAUUUCAGAAAAUAGGAAGUAUAUAUUUAAAAUACACGUCUGACUAGAAUGCGUGAUGGUGUUAUGUCUGCGCUCACUGCAACUCAGGGAAAAAAAAACCUUCAUAAAAAUACGUCCUUAAUAUCUGACCGACAUGUUUGUAUUGAAGAGCUGGAAGGUAUAGACCUGAAGAAGAAAGGCCAAAAAUCAGCAGCUUCUCCUCCCUCUCUCAAAAUUGAGCCCAAAAAGCAAUUAAUGAAAACAGGAAGACAAUAAUCUAUAGGCAACACUAAUACCGGCUUCUUAGGAAAGAGAAGAUGACGAGAACCAUAAAUGAUUUUUCCUUGAACUCUGGAAGUAUUAAGAGAUCCCCUCUCUGCGCUUUUGCAAAGGGCCAUUGGCCACAGGAAUGGGCCAGGUCGUCAGCCAGCGUAAAGAAGUACGAAUGCCAAUUUUGCCGAAAUGAAAAUGCAGCAUCCAAUGUGUGCACAGGCUACCUGGGGAAAGGGCAGGAACGUUUUCGUCAUCCACAUUGAGAACGAGCAGAAACAUUUUCUCAGGCUUCUCCAGGAAUACUUUAUAAUGGUGAAGUAUCAAUUUAUUCCUUUUGACAGAAGUUGCUCAACUGUUCCAAUGGUCAUUUAUAGGGAUAUAUUUUUUUUCAAUUACUUGUUGACUGAGAGCAUAGAAAUCCAGCAUUUUUCUCUUUGCAGUGCCAGGGCAGUUCCUGUUUAUUUCUGCUGAUAUUUUAUGUUCAAAAAACCUGCAAAUCUCUAAUUAAAAAAAAGUCAAAAUGCAUGAUUAAUUACAGAUCAAGAGUAUUUUGAAAGCAGGAAAGAAAAUAAACAACUCUGGUAAAGUGAACAGAUGGGAUUACAAACUAAAUUGCCAUCAUUAGCAUUAUGAGUCCUAUAAUUAGUUAUUAGAAUAACAAUACAUAUCUAAUAUUAAUAUGAGAUAGCACAACUGUUAUGAUAGAGACAGGAAAAGAAAACAAACUUGGAUAAGUUGUAGUCAGGGAUAAUAUCAAGUCUUGUUCCCUAUUAAUAUCCAGGUCUGACUUGCAUGACUCCUGCAGGGAUAAAUUCUGAUCUAUCCGAUGGGCCUAAGCAAGGGGUUAGGGUUGAAUUUGGGCUUUAAAAACUUCUCACUGCAUAUAUAGAGAAAAAGAUUAUCAGAACUACAGGUGUAUUGAAGACUGACAUUACUGCCUUUGAAUAAGACUGUUUGAGAGUUGAAUGUUCUUUUAUUAUUAAAAAAGGCAUUAAUUUCCUUAAUUCCCAGUAAAUGCAAUGCAGUUCAAAGUGUUCAAAUGAUAAAGUCAAAACUAUACAAAGUAAACCAGUGUUUUUCCACAGAUCUUCUAUUAGGUAACGGUUGAUAGAGGCAUAAGAGGCGGUGCCACUUGCUUAAAAGAGCAUGCUACGUAAUACUCAGCAAGCAACUGAGAGUCAAAUUAGGAAAUGAUAAGAACUGUCAUGUUGCACAGAGGAAGAACUAAGUCUAAACAAUAACCAUUUGUAUAAUUAACAGAAAAAUUAAGUCUGUAAUAAGAUGUGUUAUGCUUUUUUCUCUUCACUCUCAGCUGUUCUGCUUGAAUUAAGCUGUUAGAAAAUCUAAUUGAAACAAUGUUAUAUUUAAUUCCAUUUAUUGGCUGUUAUAAAGUCAAAUAUACAUUAAGAAGAAAAAUGUUAA
Long non-coding RNA from Dromaius novaehollandiae (emu), 2019 nucleotides. RefSeq lists it as uncharacterized. The transcript has 5 exons. Lineage: Eukaryota; Metazoa; Chordata; Aves; Casuariiformes; Dromaiidae. The record is from RefSeq and is a predicted model, not a curated record.